Long non-coding RNA from Oncorhynchus keta (chum salmon), 2110 nucleotides. RefSeq lists it as uncharacterized. The transcript is spliced from 4 exons. The record is from RefSeq and is a predicted model, not a curated record. NCBI's taxonomy places the organism in Eukaryota, Metazoa, Chordata, Actinopteri, Salmoniformes, Salmonidae.
UGGAUAGUUACUAUACACUACAGUGGAGAUGGUGCCCUACAGAGGGUGGAUAGUUACUAUACACUACAGUGGAGAUGGUGCCCUACAGAGGGUGGAUAGUUACUAUACACUACAGUGGAGAUGGUGCCCUACAGAGGGAGGAUAGUUAGUAUACACUACUGUAGAGAUGGUGCCCUACAGAGGGAGGAUAGUUAGUAUACACUACUGUAGAGAUGGUACCCUAGAGGGAGGAUAGUUAGUAUACACUACAGUAGAGAUGGUACCCUACAGAGGGAGGAUAGUUAGUAUACACUACAGUAGAGAUGGUACCCUACAGAGGGAGGAUAGUUAGUAUACACUACAGUAGUGUGCAGUGUAAGGGUUUAUUCCAUUUAAAUGAAUUCCAUUCAGGAAGUAAACUGACAUUCUGAUUCCAAUGUUCCCCGUUCCUUUCAUAUUGACUGAUGUGAAAUCGUAUUGACCCAAACCCUGGUAGUGUGUGAAUCAGGACUGAUUCAGUUAGUAGUUAAGUAUAUUUCCAGUAUUACAGACUUUCCAGUCAGUCUGUAUGACUAGAGACGUCAUGUUGAAUCUACUUCCUAUGUAGAAGAAAGGGACGUGUUGCUUCAGGGUUGGGCUCAAGGCAGUCAAUUCAGUAAGUGAUUUGAAUUUAAAAUCCAAAAUGUUUAAUACUUCUGACAUAAACAGCUUCUCCUUUUCAGAUUAUUAAGAAGUCAUUAAAAAUAGAUGGACUCCUUUUAAUUAUUGAAUUGUAAUUUCAGUUUACUUCCUGAAUUGACUGACUUCAAUUUAGGUGGGCAUAUAUCAUUCUAAGGGUAUUCAUGUAAUGUGUGUUGCUUUCACAGUAAGACUCCAGUCAGUAAAAGAGGUCAGACCUUAAUGCAAUGUGUGUUGCUUUCACAGUGAGACUCCAGUCAGUAAAAGAGGUCAGACCUUAAUGUAAUGUGUGUUGCUUUCACAGUAAGACUCCAGUCAGUAAAAGAGGUCAGACCUUAAUGCAAUGUGUGUUGCUUUCACAGUAAGACUCCAGUCAGUAAGAGGUCAGACCUUAAUGCAAUGUGUGUUGCUUUCACAGUAAGACUCCAGUCAGUAAAAGAGGUCAGACCUUAAUGCAAUGUGUGUUGCUUUCACAGUAAGACUCCAGUCAGUAAGAGGUCAGACCUUAAUGCAAUGUGUGUUGCUUUCACAGUAAGACUCCAGUCAGUAAAAGAGGUCAGACCUUAAUGCAAUGUGUGUUGCUUUCACAGUAAGACUCCAGUCAGUAAGAGGUCAGACCUUAAUGCAAUGUGUGUUGCUUUCACAGUAAGACUCCAGUCAGUAAAAGAGGUCAGACCUUAAUGCAAUGUGUGUUGCUUUCACAGUAAGACUCCAGUCAGUAAGAGGUCAGACCUUAAUGCAAUGUGUGUUGCUUUCACAGUAAGACUCCAGUCAGUAAAAGAGGUCAGACCUUAAUGCAAUGUGUGUUGCUUUCACAGUAAGACUCCAGUCAGUAAAAGAGGUCAGACCUUAAUGCAAUGUGUGUUGCUUUCACAGUAAGACUCCAGUCAGUAAAAGAGGUCAGACCUUAAUGCAAUGUGUGUUGCUUUCACAGUGAGACUCCAGUCAGUAAGAGGUCAGACCUUAAUGCAAUGUGUGUUGCUUUCACAGUAAGACUCCAGUCAGUAAAAGAGGUCAGACCUUAAUGCAAUGUGUGUUGCUUUCACAGUAAGACUCCAGUCAGUAAGAGGUCAGACCUUAAUGCAAUGUGUGUUGCUUUCACAGUAAGACUCCAGUCAGUAAAAGAGGUCAGACCUUAAUGCAAUGUGUGUUGCUUUCACAGUAAGACUCCAGUCAGUAAAAGAGGUCAGACCUUAAUGCAAUGUGUGUUGCUUUCACAGUAAGACUCCAGUCAGUAAAAGAGGUCAGACCUUAAUGCAAUGUGUGUUGCUUUCACAGUGAGACUCCAGUCAGUAAGAGGUCAGACCUUAAUGCAAUGUGUGUUGCUUUCACAGUAAGACUCCAGUCAGUAAAAGAGGUCAGACCUUAAUGCAAUGUGUGUUGCUUUCACAGUAAGACUCCAGUCAGUAAGAGGUCAGACCUUAAUGCAAUGUGUGUUGCUUUCACAGUAAGA